GACGAACGCUGGCGGCGUGCUUAACACAUGCAAGUCGAACGGAAAGGCCCUGCUUUUGUGGGGUGCUCGAGUGGCGAACGGGUGAGUAACACGUGAGUAACCUGCCCUUGACUUUGGGAUAACUUCAGGAAACUGGGGCUAAUACCGGAUAGGAGCUCCUGCUGCAUGGUGGGAGUUGGAAAGUUUCGGCGGUUGGGGAUGGACUCGCGGCUUAUCAGCUUGUUGGUGGGGUAGUGGCUUACCAAGGCUUUGACGGGUAGCCGGCCUGAGAGGGUGACCGGCCACAGUGGGACUGAGAUACGGCCCAGACUCCUACGGGAGGCAGCAGUGGGGAAUAUUGCACAAUGGGCGGAAGCCUGAUGCAGCAACGCCGCGUGCGGGAUGACGGCCUUCGGGUUGUAAACCGAUUUCGCCUGUGACGAAGCGUGAGUGACGGUAAUGUGUAAAGAAGCACCGGCUAACUACGUG
This 468-nucleotide ribosomal RNA is filed under the name uncultured bacterium. RNAcentral describes it as "partial 16S ribosomal RNA". It matches the Rfam family "Bacterial small subunit ribosomal RNA", at positions 28 to 507 of the family's 1533-position model. The record is from RNAcentral.